UUUUUGUGCCUUAGCUUAUCCAGCCCUCAAAUGGGUGUGGUGGGGAAGUUGUCUUCCUUGCAAUCCACAGAGUCCUUUUUGUGGAAAAGCCAACAUUUCUCUCUCUGAUGCUGUUUUCUUCACAAUGUCCUCAAUGUGCUGUGUGGAGACAGUUUUAAAGGGAAUUGGAGAAUUCCUCGGGUCAUGGACACGUUGAUUCAGCCGCUCAACAGAACACGGUGGCCUGGGUGGAUAGAGAGGUUACUAGUACCUGCCUCUCUGAGAAGUCAGUGACCAUGUCAACCUUCUAGGCUGAGCAGCAACACUUCAGAAAACUUCCCC
RNAcentral lists this long non-coding RNA (321 nucleotides) under Phascolarctos cinereus (koala). RNAcentral's name for it is "lncRNA (ENSPCIG00000033880.1)". Lineage: Eukaryota; Metazoa; Chordata; Mammalia; Diprotodontia; Phascolarctidae. The record is from RNAcentral.